UACAGAAUUUAAGCGCCAUGCACCUUCCUGAUACGGAAACAGACCGAUGAGGGUCUGAUAGGAAGGUUAACGAGGAGGAAAGUGAUCGAAAGAUUCGGCGGAUGCUUUCCCGCAGCUCCAGACUACGUGAUAUACUGAGUAAACCCAUGAGUGAUCAUGAAACAGAGGCAGUAUAAUCUGGACAA
Molecule: non-coding RNA, 185 nt
Organism: Anaerostipes hadrus
Lineage: Bacteria; Bacillati; Bacillota; Clostridia; Lachnospirales; Lachnospiraceae
Source: Rfam